RNAcentral lists this ribosomal RNA (905 nucleotides) under uncultured organism. RNAcentral's name for it is "bacterial SSU rRNA". It matches the Rfam family "Bacterial small subunit ribosomal RNA", at positions 524 to 1432 of the family's 1533-position model. The record is from RNAcentral.
UACGGAGGAUGCAAGCGUUAUCCGGAUUCAUGGGGUUUAAAGGGUGCGCAGGCUGUAAAGCAAGUCAGUGGUGAAAGCCCUGGGCUUAACUCAGGGAUUGCCAUUGAAACUGUUNUACUAGAGUGUAGUAGAGGACGGCGGAAUGAGUUGUGUAGCGGUGAAAUGCAUAGAUAUAACUCAGAACACCUAUUGCGUAGGCAGCUGUCUAUACUACAACUGACGCUGAGGCACGAAAGCGUGGGGAGCGAACAGGAUUAGAUACCCUGGUAGUCCACGCUGUAAACGAUGAUCACUCGUUGUUGGCUACUUAGUAGUCAGUGACCAAGGGAAACCGAUAAGUGAUCCACCUGGGGAGUACGUCGGCAACGAUGAAACUCAAAGGAAUUGACGGGGGCCCGCACAAGCGGAGGAACAUGUGGUUUAAUUCGAUGAUACGCGAGGAACCUUACCUGGGCUUAAAUGCUGGCUGCAUUGGAGGGAAACCUUCAUUUCCUACGGGACCGCCAGCAAGGUGCUGCAUGGUUGUCGUCAGCUCGUGCCGUGAGGUGUCGGGUUAAGUCCCACAACGAGCGCAACCCCUAUCGCUAGUUGCCAGCAUGUAAUGGUGGGGACUCUAGCGAGACUGCCGGUGUAAACCGGAGGAAGGUGGGGAUGACGUCAAAUCAGCACGGCCCUUACGUCCAGGGCUACACACGUGUUACAAUGGCCGGUACAAAGAGCAGCCACCUGGCGACAGGGCGCUAAUCUCUAAAACCGGUCUCAGUUCGGAUCGAAGUCUGCAAUUCGACUUCGUGAAGGUGGAUUCGCUAGUAAUCGCGCAUCAGCCAUGGCGCGGUGAAUAAGUUCCCGGGCCUUGUACACACCGCCCGUCAAGCCAUGGAAGUCGGGGGUACCUGAAGUCCGUA